Molecule: ribosomal RNA, 245 nt
Filed under: uncultured bacterium
Lineage: Bacteria
Description: partial 16S ribosomal RNA
Rfam family: Bacterial small subunit ribosomal RNA
Source: RNAcentral
GAUCAUGGCUCAGAUUGAACGCUGGCGGCAGGCCUAACACAUGCAAGUCGAACGGUAACAGGAAGAAGCUUGCUUCUUUGCUGACGAGUGGCGGACGGGUGAGUAAUGGUCUGGGAAACUGCCUGAUGGAGGGGGAUAACUACGUGGAAACGGUAGCUAAUACCGCAUAACGUCGCAAGACCAAAGAGGGGGACCUUCGGGCCUCUUGCCAUCGGAUGUAGCCCAGAUGGGAUUAGCUAGUAGGG